This 550-nucleotide ribosomal RNA is filed under the name uncultured Bacillus sp. RNAcentral's name for it is "bacterial SSU rRNA". It matches the Rfam family "Bacterial small subunit ribosomal RNA", at positions 8 to 536 of the family's 1533-position model. The record is from RNAcentral. Lineage: Bacteria; Bacillati; Bacillota; Bacilli; Caryophanales; Bacillaceae.
AGAGUUUGAUCAUGGCUCAGGACGAACGCUGGCGGCGUGCCUAAUACAUGCAAGUCGGGCGGGGCUUGAGGAGGGCUUGCCCUUCGAGAGCCCAGCGGCGGACGGGUGAGUAACACGUGGGUAACCUGCCCGUAAGACCGGGAUAACUCCGGGAAACCGGGGCUAAUACCGGAUAACACCGGGGCCGCAUGGCUUCCGGUUGAAAGGCGGCCUUUGGCUGCCACUUACGGAUGGGCCCGCGGCGCAUUAGCUGGUUGGCGGGGUAACGGCCCACCAAGGCGACGAUGCGUAGCCGGCCUGAGAGGGUGGACGGCCACACUGGGACUGAGACACGGCCCAGACUCCUACGGGAGGCAGCAGUAGGGAAUCUUCCGCAAUGGGCGAAAGCCUGACGGAGCGACGCCGCGUGAGCGAGGAAGGCCUUCGGGUCGUAAAGCUCUGUUGUCAGGGAAGAAGGCGUGCCGUUCGAACAGGGCGGCGCGGUGACGGUACCUGACGAGGAAGCCCCGGCUAACUACGUGCCAGCAGCCGCGGUAAAACGUAGGGGGCG